UACGAAGGGGGCUAGCGUUUUUCGGAUUUACUGGGCGUAAAGCGCAUGUAGGCGGGUCGUUUAGUUGGGGGUGAAAUCCCGAGGCUCAACCUCGGAACUGCCUUCAAAACUGGUGGCCUGGAGCAAGAUAGAGGCAAGUGGAAUUGCGAGUGUAGAGGUGAAAUUCGUAGAUAUUCGCAGGAACACCAGUGGCGAAGGCGACUUGCUGGAGCUUUGCUGACGCUGAGACACGAAAGCGUGGGGAGCAAACAGG
Molecule: ribosomal RNA, 253 nt
Filed under: uncultured bacterium
Lineage: Bacteria
Description: partial 16S ribosomal RNA
Rfam family: Bacterial small subunit ribosomal RNA
Source: RNAcentral